This 465-nucleotide ribosomal RNA is filed under the name uncultured bacterium. Its description in RNAcentral is "partial 16S ribosomal RNA". It matches the Rfam family "Bacterial small subunit ribosomal RNA", at positions 28 to 507 of the family's 1533-position model. The record is from RNAcentral.
GACGAACGCUGGCGGCGUGCUUAACACAUGCAAGUCGAACGGAAAGGCCCUGCUUGCAGGGUACUCGAGUGGCGAACGGGUGAGUAACACGUGGGUGAUCUGCCCUGCACUUCGGGAUAAGCCUGGGAAACUGGGUCUAAUACCGGAUAGGAGCCAUUUUUAGUGUGAUGGUUGGAAAGUUUUUUCGGUGUAGGAUGAGCUCGCGGCCUAUCAGCUUGUUGGUGGGGUAAUGGCCUACCAAGGCGGCGACGGGUAGCCGGCCUGAGAGGGUGGACGGCCACAUCGGGACUGAGAUACGGCCCAGACUCCUACGGGAGGCAGCAGUGGGGAAUAUUGCACAAUGGGCGCAAGCCUGAUGCAGCGACGCCGCGUGGGGGAUGACGGCCUUCGGGUUGUAAACUCCUUUCGCUAGGGACGAAGCUUUUUGUGACGGUUCCUAGAUAAGAAGCACCGGCUAACUACGUG